RNAcentral lists this small RNA (1915 nucleotides) under Lupinus albus (white lupine). Its description in RNAcentral is "hypothetical ncRNA". The record is from RNAcentral. Lineage: Eukaryota; Viridiplantae; Streptophyta; Magnoliopsida; Fabales; Fabaceae.
GGUCAGGGGCGCGUCGGAACGGUCGGUGGCUGCUUAGUCUCAUCCGAGAGUCUAAUCUCUUUGUACUGCUUUUUGAUUUUUCAAAUCAAAAAGAAGGGGGUCGAUUUAGGCUCCUUCCCUUCCACUGCAUAGCUGCGCUAGCAGGUACUAUGAGCCCUCUGUCCCACGCAUCUAACCAGCUCGCGUGGUUCACCGGUUCCACCGAAAACUCUCAUUUGUUGAAGCGGAGCAUAGUGCGCUUUAGGCGCCGAGCGAGAAACGUCUCUUUCUUCUUUCGUUUCGGUUUAUUCACUGAUCUGAAACUUAGCACUUGUUUUCUUAUUGAUUCCAGGGGCGGCGGCGUUCUUGAAUGAAGUCUAUCCGAACCUAAUUAGCACUUCUCAGAUCAGGCUAGGCCUCUCCAGCGGAGGCUGGGCGCCGGGGCCCUGGAUGCGCUAGCGAUCGGCACAUAGGGGGUGGUUGCCCGGGUUUCUCGGCCUGGUAUCCUGCACCUCGCGUUCAUGAUAUCUACAUUCAACUGUGCCCCGGAGACACGGUCGAAGCACGCCCGCCCAGUGUGCUUCUUUCACGACAUGCUCUGGUCCCGGGUGUCUUCCAGUGGUCUUCUAGCCUUAGAAGAAGUCGUGUCCGUCCCGGACAUCUGCAACGUCCUCCCACGCUUUUUUAUUCAACAGAUAUAUAGGACAAACUUAAGGAAAAGACUGACCCAUUCGGUGACUUUCGCGGUCGCCCUCACUAAACCGACUUGAAUCUGAACUACGAUUCAGAUCGAGUCUUACCGAAAUCGGAUUUCCUUUUCGUGCCAUAUGCGCUUAGACUUUAUUGACUUUUUCCCCUUUUUUCUUCCCGGUUUAAUAUUUGUUCUCGAAAGUCUUCGUUUCCGUGUAGAAGCAAACUCUCAAAAUUGUUGACCAACCUUUCCUUCAAUGAUAGAGGCAAGAAAACUUUCAGGCUUACUAUAACCAACCUCACAGAUCCCACUCCAUCUUUUACACCGAUGUAUCGUACUCUCUCGACCAGGUCAUCAUAAGAAAAGACUGCUAAAUCUUUCCGAAGUGAGAUAAGGAGGGAAGGCGCGCUACAACUAACAUAACAGCCAGCUGAAAAACGCUAGCUAGCUAGGCUAGCUAGCAAUGGCUUUCUCUUAUAGGGGCUCGCUUCUUCAAGCUCCGCCCAACCUAUACAAGGUGCUGCUCGCUUUCUCUCAGCCACCAGUGGCUUAUGUAGUGGUCGGCAUUCCUACGUGCUCCUCUUUGCCCCCUACUUAAGAAUCCAAAGGUCACCUUUGGCUGUUGUCUUGACGCUUUGGUUACGAAAGUAGCCGGGGUCUAGGUUUAUGGAUGGAUUUAGUCAGCGAAAGUCCCUCAAACUCAAUCAAUAUCAACAACAUGUCGUGACCGGUUAGGCUUGGUUUAUUUUGUCAGAAAAUAAAGUAGGUUUCGGGGGUGGGUUCAUUGAUUAGUACACCUCCGGUGCUGAUAAGGUCGGGACCGUGGUCGUCCGUCUCCGGUUUGCCGGCCGAUAAGAUUUCUGAGAUUGACCAGCCAGCUGGGUUGGUUUGGCUAUUCCUUUCUAUUGAAAAGAAGGAGUCAGCUGUCUGCGCGAGUCACCUUCUUCUAGGCUCCGCUGGACGACACGGCAUUCUCGUUUAAAGAUAGGCCGGCCGCACUUGUGAUGGUUCCCAAAGAUCCAAUAUGACCACUUAGGUCUACGUUGCCACGAUAUUGUUCUAUGGAAGCGGGCGGGCUGUUAGAAGUUCGGCCCGGUUUUUUUUGGUGUCGUAGGGGAGGGAUUGACCUUUUUAACGCAUAUUCAGUCGUACCGGCAUGGCCCCACUGAUUUCUUUUCGAUCGGAGCAUCAAGCAGCGCAACCCGGUUCUACUUGACUAAGCCCCGUGCUCGUCCAGGGAGGGAG